RNAcentral lists this ribosomal RNA (615 nucleotides) under uncultured archaeon. RNAcentral describes it as "bacterial SSU rRNA". It matches the Rfam family "Archaeal small subunit ribosomal RNA", at positions 110 to 727 of the family's 1478-position model. The record is from RNAcentral.
UACCCUCGGGUGGGGGAUAACCUCGGGAAACUGAGGCUAAUACCCCAUAGGCCUCGGAUACUGGAAGGUUCCGAGACCGAAAGCUCCGGCGCCCGAGGAUGGGUCUGCGGCCUAUCAGGUAGUUGGUGGUGUAAAGGACCACCAAGCCUACGACGGGUACGGGCCCUGAGAGGGGGAGCCCGGAGAUGGACUCUGAGACACGAGUCCAGGCCCUACGGGGCGCAGCAGGCGCGAAACCUUCGCAAUGCGCGAAAGCGCGACGAGGGGAGCCCGAGUGCCCUUCCUUUCGGGAGGGCUUUUCUGGAGCCUAAAAAGCUCCAGGAAUAAGGGCUGGGCAAGACGGGUGCCAGCCGCCGCGGUAAUACCCGCAGCUCGAGUGGUGGCCACUAUUAUUGAGCCUAAAGCGUCCGUAGCCGGACCCGUAAAUCCCUGGGUAAAUCCUGGCGCUCAACGUCAGGAAUUCCGGGGAGACUGCGGGUCUUGGGACCGGGAGAGGCCGGAGGUACUCCCGGGGUAGGGGUAAAAUCCUGUAAUCCCGGGGGGACCACCUGUGGCGAAAGCGUCCGGCUUGAACGGCUCCGACGGUGAGGGACGAAGGCCAGGGGAGCAAACCGG